GGGCCCGCACAAGCGGUGGAGCAUGUGGUUUAAUUCGAUGAUACGCGAGGAACCUUACCAGGGCUUAAAUGUAGAUUGCAUAAGCUAGAGAUAGCUUUUUCUUCGGACUAUCUACAAGGUGCUGCAUGGUUGUCGUCAGCUCGUGCCGUGAGGUGUCAGGUUAAGUCCUAUAACGAGCGCAACCCCUGUCGUUAGUUGCCAACAGGUUAUGCUGGGAACUCUAACGAGACUGCCGGUGCAAACUGAGAGGAAGGUGGGGACGACGUCAAAUCAUCACGGCCCUUACGUCCUGGGCUACACACGUGCUACAAUGGUCGGUACAGAGAGCAGCCACCUUGCGAAAGGGAGCAAAUCUUUAAAACCGGUCUCAGUUCGGAUCGCAGUCUGCAACUCGACUGCGUGAAGCUGGAAUCGCUAGUAAUCGC
Molecule: ribosomal RNA, 425 nt
Filed under: uncultured bacterium
Lineage: Bacteria
Description: bacterial SSU rRNA
Rfam family: Bacterial small subunit ribosomal RNA
Source: RNAcentral